GGCCUGAGGAAUGGAGUCAGCCCUCUGUGGGCUGAAACCUCUAAAACCUUGGUUCCCCAGAUAAGCUUUCCUUCUUCUAUGUCUUUUGAUCACAGCAGCAAAAAGGUUGACUCAAACAUCACCAUAAUCAAGGUAUGAAGUGCAUUUGACAUGUUGCAAUGUGUCCGUGUGUUCCUCUGUUUUGUUUUGUUUCAUUUGUUUUGUGUUAAGAAUAUUUUACAUGUUAUCUACCCCCGUAACAUAUGAUAUAGCUGUCUCACAUCUGUGCAUACAUCCAAAGAAACUGAAAUCAGUUUCUUGAAGAAAUAUCUGCUCUCCCAUGUUCAUUUUGCAACAUUAUUCAUGAUAACUUAAAAUAUGGAAAUAUCCUACUGAUGACUUACAAAUGAAAGGUUAAAGAAAUUGUGGUAAGUAAAUAUGAUAAAAUGUAAUAUAAUUUAGUCUAACUAAUUAAGGAGAUACUUGAAACUCUGUGGAUGAACCUAGAGGUCACUAUGCCAAGUGAAAUAACCAGUCAUGGAUAAAUAAUGAAUGAUUCCACUUAACACGCGGUUUCCCUAAGAGUCAAACUCAGAAGGAGAAAAUGCAGUAGUGGAUACCAGAGGCUAGAAGUGGGGUACAUGGGGAAUUUUUGUUCAAUGGGUGUACAGUUUCAGUUAUGGAAGAUUAAUAAAUACUAGAGAUCCAUUGUAUAGCACAGUGCCUAAAGUUAGCAACAUUCUGAUCAUCAUUAUUAUUUAAAGGAAAUACAGAAUUGUGUCCUAUGGUCAUCUGAAAUAAGAUCAUCAAUAACCAAAUCAUCAUAACAAAAUAUCAUUAAAAAAAAAACUUCAAGAAAUAAUGAUAUAUAUUUCCAUAAGACUUUACUAGUUUAUUUCAAAAUGUGCAAAUGCCAGGAAACUUAGAAGUCCUAAUAAAGUCACAUAAUGGACUUGAUAAUUCUCUGUAAUUGACCAAACAUAAUGAUUCCUAAAACCUGCCAGAUAGGAAAAUGAAUCUAAGUUUAACUUUACAUCAGGCAGGCUCAGUUACCUUAGAAAUGAUUUCACAGGAUACUAGUUUAGUAAAUCAACACAUUCAAUGAUUUAUAGGCAGUAGGCCAGAUCUUUCAUAGGCAUUUGCUAAAUUUGCCACGACUGAAGUUUCUGGAGAAUGCUUUUCAUAUAAGAAAAAAAAAUUGGACAAACUGCUCAUGAAAACUAUAUUGUUUCUUCUUUUAAACCAUUUUACUGAGUUACAAUUGAUAAGAAAACUGGCCAUAUUUAAUGCGUGUCAUUUGGGAAAUACACAUCCAUGAAAUCAUCACCACCUUCAAGACAUAAACACAUCCAUCACCUCACAUCACUUUCUUUCACCUCCUUUAACAUCAUUAGAGUUUUCUAAUGAAAUUACUGAACAUAGCUACCCAUGAGUAAAUUUUAAGUACAUAAUACUAUUUUAUCAGCUAUUAGACCCUAUGCUAUACACUAGAUAUUCAGAAAUUCUUCACCUUGCAUAACGGAAACUUUCAAUCAUCACCUCAUCUUUUUCUUCAUCACCACCACCCCAGUCCCUGACAACAUUUUAUUCUCCAAUUCUAUGAGAAUGAUGGUUAGAUUCUAC
Molecule: long non-coding RNA, 1602 nt
Filed under: Marmota monax (woodchuck)
Lineage: Eukaryota; Metazoa; Chordata; Mammalia; Rodentia; Sciuridae
Source: RNAcentral